UACGUAGGGUGCGAGCGUUACUCGGAAUUACUGGGCGUAAAGCGUGCGCAGGCGGUCUGUUAAGACCGAUGUGAAAUCCCCGGGCUUAACCUGGGAACUGCAUUGGUGACUGGCAGGCUUUGAGUGUGGCAGAGGGAGGUAGAAUUCCACGUGUAGCAGUGAAAUGCGUAGAGAUGUGGAGGAAUACCGAUGGCGAAGGCAGCCUCCUGGGCAAACACUGACGCUCAUGCACGAAAGCGUGGGGAGCAAACAGG
This 254-nucleotide ribosomal RNA is filed under the name uncultured bacterium. RNAcentral's name for it is "partial 16S ribosomal RNA". It matches the Rfam family "Bacterial small subunit ribosomal RNA", at positions 524 to 776 of the family's 1533-position model. The record is from RNAcentral.